RNAcentral lists this ribosomal RNA (456 nucleotides) under uncultured bacterium. Its description in RNAcentral is "bacterial SSU rRNA". It matches the Rfam family "Bacterial small subunit ribosomal RNA", at positions 340 to 786 of the family's 1533-position model. The record is from RNAcentral.
UACGGGAGGCAGCAGGGGAAGUAUUGCACAAUGGGCGGCAAGACCUGAUGCAGCCACUGCCGCGCGUAUGAAGAAAGGCCUUCGGGUUGUAAAGUACUUUCAGUCGUGAGGAAGGUGUUAAGGUUAAUAACCUUAGCAAUUGACGUUAGCGACAGAAGAAGCACCGGCUAACUCCGUGCCAGCAGCCGCGGUAAUACGGAGGGUGCGAGCGUUAAUCGGAAUUACUGGGCGUAAAGGGCACGCAGGCGGUUAAUUAAGUUGGAUGUGAAAUCCCCGGGCUUAACCUGGGAAUGGCAUUCAAGACUGGUUAGCUAGAGUCUUGUAGAGGGGGUAGAAUUCCAUGUGUAGCGGUGAAAUGCGUAGAGAUGUGGAGGAAUACCGGUGGCGAAGGCGGCCCCUGGACAAAGACUGACGCUCAUGUGCGAAAGCGUGGGGAGCAAACAGGGAUUAGAUACC